Molecule: long non-coding RNA, 2742 nt
Organism: Equus caballus (horse)
Lineage: Eukaryota; Metazoa; Chordata; Mammalia; Perissodactyla; Equidae
Source: Ensembl
UUAAGGUCACACAGCAACUGGAAGGAGCCAAAACUGAUCACAGAAUUACUGGUUUUUAAUUGCACGUGUGUAGUACAACAUCACGUAAGUAAAGUGACUCGAUGACGUUGACUAACAAGACUGAUCGGAGAAUGGGGAAAUAUCUGAAAAAAAAAGAGAACUGGAGAAUAUUCAAAAAGCACGCCUGGACCAGCUCAUAACAACGGCCCCCACCAAUGUCUCGGUCUCCCGAGAGGAUCUUCCGCUCACCAAGAUGCCCCCAGAGCCCACCAGGUGAGUCUUGUUUCACCAAACGACAGUCAGCCUUCUCUCUGGUGACUUUAGGUUGCUGCAAUGAGUGAGUUUGUGCGUGGGCCCUUUAAGACCCGGAUCUUUUCGGCUUUCGGCCAAUAGCUUUUCUGGGGUGUCCUCGCUGCAGUUGAUAGGCAGCAAAGACAGACAGUAAGACCCCCCUCUCAGUUGGGCUGAGUCCGAAGGAUGGUUAUAGCAGUAUUGCCCCCGCUACGAACCUCACUCCUCCAGGGAGGGCUCGUACCUUAGGUUGGCUCCCGCCUGGCCAGCUGAGAAGCUCCGCUGCUCCCAAAGGUGGCUUUUUUCCUCUCUGCCCGGAGUUACUGCCUCUUCUGCUUUCGUCAGGACUGUCCCUUGUUGUGGGGGUUCUCUUUAUCCAGUUUUCAGUUUUCAAUCCAGGGUGAUUCUUCCUAAAAUUGUUGUAACCUGGUUGUGCUUGUGGGAGGAGGUGAGUUCAACGUCUGCUCACAGCGCCAUCUUGAUGAGAACCUGUUGACACUGUUUUGAUCACACCAGACAGGAUCAAGUGAGGACUAUGGCCUGACGGACAGUGAUGGUUGACUACUUGCCAGGUGCCAUACUGACUCUGAGGAUUGAAGUGUAAAUAAGGCAUAGACCUUGAUGUCAUAGAGCUCAUAAUGUAGCAGAAGAUGUGGACAUGUAAACAUCGAACAAGUGUGGAGGCACCACACAGCACUGUAGGAGAAUAGUAUUGCCUUGAGUGAAAGCUUCACAGAACAAGAGCUCAGUCUUGAAAAAAUCAAUGGGAGUUAUCAGUUAGUAAAGUAAAGGAUGGGCAUUUCUCAGAAGCGGGAUGAUGUGGACAAAAGCAAGACAGUGUUAUGAUGGGUUUGGUAACAGGACAGACAUUUUUGUACUCUGGAAGUGAAAUACAACAAAAUGAAAGAAAUUUGAAAAAAAAACAAAACAAAACCACCUGACAGUCUGUCUUUGACAAUCUCCUCUCCCACUGCCCACAUUCCCCUCCAGUAAGUGCAAAUAUUCGGUGAGAAGCCAGGGUUCAAGGAUCUCUUCCUCCUUCUGAAAAGCUAUGUCAAAUUUUUAUAUUAGAACAAUUCCUGAAAGUUCCUCAUAUUUCAACAAUUACAAUUUACUUACAAUUUGCAGACUUUUUACAAAGUUUAUAUUGUAAAUUAUCACUAAAUUAUCCAUACUAUAGCAAUUUUGCUGGUAGCAUAACAUUUGGUUAGCACUAUAGACUGAGUAUUUGUGUCCUCCCCAAAUUCAUAUGCUGAAACUUAAUCCCCAGUGUGAUGGUAUUUGAAGGAGGGACCUUUGGGAGGUGAUUAAGUUACGAGGGUGUAUCCCUCAUAAAUAGGAUUAGUGCCAUUAUGAAAGAGACCCCAGAGAGAUCCCUCACCCCUUCUGCCAUGUGAGAUUACAGCAAAAAGGAUUUGGUCUAUGAACCAGGAAAGGUGACAUCCCCAGACAUGGAAUCUGCUUGUGCCUUGAUCUUGGACUUCCCAGUCUCCAGAACUGAUUCACAGACAAGACUGGUGUGUGUUUGGUGCCUAGAAGUUAUUUUCAAAACCUAAUACCAAAGACAAUUGAGAGGGAAGAAGCUGAAGAUGUCUGCUGAGCAACAGAGAGAAUCCUAACUGUGAUAAAAAUGUCCACCAACCUCUUUAUCCCUUUCUUCUGUUACUCUCAAUAAGAAUGUUCUCUCUGCUUUAUUCAAAUUGUCCUUUACACAUGUCUUAACUUCUCCUAAUCUUAUCACAUGCCUUUGCUCAUGUUCUUCCUCCUUCUAGGUUCAAUUCGAAACCCAUCUGAUCUGUGAAAGAAUCUCUUAUGAACACAGUCUCUUCUGAGCUUCUAUCCCACCUCACUUGUAAAACAGAAAUCUUUUAAAGGUAUAGCUUUAUCCUUCUAAUGAGUUGUAAAAUUCUUUGACUAAAGGGACUGUUUCCAUAUGCAGAAUGUUUUUCAAAGUGCCUUACGCAUUGCUGUACUCCAAAAAUGUUUUUUAAAUUUGUUGAUUGAUAACCUCCUCAUGGAAAAAUGCUGAUAGUAUUUAAAUUUUUGCUGCUAAACAAUUUAGAUAUGAAUAGAAGAGGCCUCAAACCUCUACUAAAUACCUACUCCUGUGAAGUGCUUUUCUGGGCCCCAAACAAAUGGAAUUUUGCACAAAUCCUUUUAAUUUUAUCUUUCUUUUUUAGAUAUGGAGCUCAGAUGAAUCUAGUUAUCUUAAAAGUACAAGGAGGAAGUGGGGAAACACUGGAUUAAAAAACCUGGAUGUUGUUUCUGAAGAAAAUGAAUAUCUAUUGUGUUCUCUCUGUGAUAAGAACUACAAAGAUGCAGAAGAUCUGGAUCUCACCCUUCAAUAUUGUCAUUUACUCUGAUACUGUGAAGAGUGGGAUUAAAGCAGUCUGAUGAAGGGAUCUGUCUAAUGAUAUUUUCACAGCUUCAGAAAAGGUUUGAGAGAUUAAA